CACUUGUGCUAAGCCUGGAGCAGGUACUAAUACAAUAGCAGUGUCUGGUGGACGAAGGAACCUUAACCAGGAUUAUACCUAUUCCUGCAAACCCGGCUACACCGCCCCCUCUGAAAAACUGAAGACCGUCUGUGUACUAAACGGUAACGCACCCACUGGAAAGUGGUCUAAAGAUCCACCCACUUGCGAAGCGGAAAAAAGUUCAACCCAAGGAACUACCCUCAGAUGUCCAAGAGGCUUUGAACUUUUUGAAGGGAAAUAUUGCUUCCUCAUAAUAAGCAAGGCCGACAUAUGGGAAGUACAGGCACGGAAAUGCAAGGCCAAGAAGGGACAACUGGCAAUACCUCGCUCUGAAGACAAAGCCGAAGUUCUACAAAGAUAUCACACAGAGAAUCUCAAAAACGACGUGUGGAUUGGACCCCAAGCUCUUGUUGUCAGCAAUGUCUUUACUGACU
Long non-coding RNA from Strongylocentrotus purpuratus (purple sea urchin), 455 nucleotides. RefSeq lists it as uncharacterized. The record is from RefSeq and is a predicted model, not a curated record. NCBI's taxonomy places the organism in Eukaryota, Metazoa, Echinodermata, Echinoidea, Camarodonta, Strongylocentrotidae. The transcript is spliced from 3 exons.